AAUAAGCGCAGUUGUGAGUUUUAGUGUCCAACUUUGACCGUCCGUCUUAUUUGAAAUUUUUUAUUACUAUUUUUAUUGUUAUUAGAUGAUAAAAUAUAAAUAUUACUUUAUGCGUGACUUAAUUUUUUAAAAAAAUUCAUAAAUUUUUCAAAUAAGACGGAUGGUCAAACGUUGGACACGGAAACUUACGGCUGCACUUAAA
Non-coding RNA from Oryza nivara, 202 nucleotides. NCBI's taxonomy places the organism in Eukaryota, Viridiplantae, Streptophyta, Magnoliopsida, Poales, Poaceae. The record is from Rfam.